This 157-nucleotide ribosomal RNA is filed under the name Staphylococcus aureus. RNAcentral's name for it is "partial 23S ribosomal RNA". It matches the Rfam family "Bacterial large subunit ribosomal RNA", at positions 1 to 156 of the family's 2925-position model. The record is from RNAcentral. RNAcentral also lists the same sequence under 1 other name. Lineage: Bacteria; Bacillati; Bacillota; Bacilli; Caryophanales; Staphylococcaceae.
AGAUUAAGUUAUUAAGGGCGCACGGUGGAUGCCUUGGCACUAGAAGCCGAUGAAGGACGUUACUAACGACGAUAUGCUUUGGGGAGCUGUAAGUAAGCUUUGAUCCAGAGAUUUCCGAAUGGGGAAACCCAGCAUGAGUUAUGUCAUGUUAUCGAUA